GGCCUUUUGAUUUUAAUUUAAGGUCAGGCCUGCCCACUGAUAUAAAUAUUUAAUGGCCGCGGUAUUUUGACCGUGCAAAGGUAGCAUAAUCAUUAGUUUUUUAAUUGAAAGCUGGAAUGAAGGGUUUGAUAAGAAAAAUACUGUCUUAAUUUAAUUUAAUUAGAAUUUUAUUUUUAAGUUAAAAAGCUUAAAUAAAUUUAAAAGACGAGAAGACCCUAUAGAGUUUUAUAUUUAAUUUAUUAUAGAUUAAGGGUUAAUAAAACUUUAAUAAAUUUAAGUAUUUGAUUGGGGUGAUUAAAAAAUUAAAUUAACUUUUUUUAAAUUAUUACAUAGAUUUAUGAGUAUUUGAUCCAAUUAUUUUGAUUAUAAGAUUAAAUUACCUUAGGGAUAACAGCGUAAUUUUUUUUAAGAGUUCUUAUCGAAAAAAAAGUUUGCGACCUCGAUGUUGGAUUAAAGUUAAUGUUUGGUGUAGAAGCUAUAAUUAUUAGGUCUGUUCGACCUUUAAAACUUUACA
Molecule: ribosomal RNA, 514 nt
Filed under: Pseudobothrideres conradsi
Lineage: Eukaryota; Metazoa; Arthropoda; Insecta; Coleoptera; Bothrideridae
Description: partial 16S ribosomal RNA
Rfam family: Archaeal large subunit ribosomal RNA
Source: RNAcentral